CUGAUGCCAGAGCAGCAACCUGCCCUCAGGCGAAAUGAGUUCAAUCCUUCUCUAUCUCAACUCUGCCUCCUGCCUAACGAUCCUGCUGCUCUUUCUUGUGUAUUAUGCUGUGAUCAGGCUUGCCAGAUCUGAGCAUCUCAGGAAUGCAACCGUUACAGUCCCAGUCCUUCUCAGACAGCUUUCACAGCCCACGAGGAAGGAGCUGAGUUUAAUAGUGCUAACAGAUGGAGUUCCUAUGGAAGAACAACAGAGAACCACAAAGAAUGUCCACCCACCAUCACUACAUCACCAGAAAGUCUGGCCUCUGUGUUCAGUGAACAGCAUUGAAAGGGACAGGGAAACAGACAGCAAGUGUAUUUUCUUCCCUGAACUUUUGUAUUGACACAACAAGCCUGUCACCUCUCCACUGAUAAGCGACGUGACACUGUGUUUGUGCAGCCAACCGAGUGAGUGUUUCACCCUCCGCUGAUUGCAUCCAUGCAUGGAGAGAUCAGACACUAGGGACUAGGAAAAGUAAUAAACACCUGAAAUGGUCAUGGGGA
This is a long non-coding RNA of Mauremys reevesii (Reeves's turtle), 542 nucleotides long. RefSeq lists it as uncharacterized. Lineage: Eukaryota; Metazoa; Chordata; Testudines; Geoemydidae. The record is from RefSeq and is a predicted model, not a curated record. The transcript is spliced from 3 exons.